This 422-nucleotide ribosomal RNA is filed under the name uncultured bacterium. RNAcentral's name for it is "bacterial SSU rRNA". It matches the Rfam family "Bacterial small subunit ribosomal RNA", at positions 355 to 774 of the family's 1533-position model. The record is from RNAcentral.
UAAGGAAUAUUGGACAAUGGAGGCAACUCUGAUCCAGCCAUGCCGCGUGAAGGAAUAGGGCCCUAUGGGUUGUAAACUUCUUUUAGACGGGACAAAACCCCUUUACGUGUAAAGGGUUGAUGGUACUGUCAGAAUAAGCAUCGGCUAACCUCGUGCCAGCAGCCGCGGUAAUACGAAGGAUGCAAGCGUUAUCCGGAAUUAUUGGGUUUAAAGGGUGCGUAGGCGGACUAAUAAGUCAGUGGUGAAAGCCUGCAGCUUAACUGCAGAAUUGCCAUUGAUACUUUUAUUCUUGAGUUCGGGAGAGAGAGACGGAAUUCCAGGUGUAGUGGUGAAAUACGUAGAUAUCUGGAAGAACACCAGUUGCGAAGGCGGUCUCUUGGUCCGACACUGACGCUGAGGCGCGAAAGCGUGGGGAGCAAACA